AAAUUGAAGAGUUUGAUCAUGGCUCAGAUUGAACGCUGGCGGCAGGCCUAACACAUGCAAGUCGAACGGUAACAGGAAGCAGCUUGCUGCUUCGCUGACGAGUGGCGGACGGGUGAGUAAUGUCUGGGAAACUGCCUGAUGGAGGGGGAUAACUACUGGAAACGGUGGCUAAUACCGCAUAACGUCGCAAGACCAAAGAGGGGGACCUUCGGGCCUCUUGCCAUCAGAUGUGCCC
This 235-nucleotide ribosomal RNA is filed under the name Salmonella enterica. Its description in RNAcentral is "partial 16S ribosomal RNA". It matches the Rfam family "Bacterial small subunit ribosomal RNA", at positions 1 to 232 of the family's 1533-position model. Lineage: Bacteria; Pseudomonadati; Pseudomonadota; Gammaproteobacteria; Enterobacterales; Enterobacteriaceae. RNAcentral also lists the same sequence under 7 other names. The record is from RNAcentral.